This 497-nucleotide ribosomal RNA is filed under the name uncultured bacterium. Its description in RNAcentral is "partial 16S ribosomal RNA". It matches the Rfam family "Bacterial small subunit ribosomal RNA", at positions 28 to 507 of the family's 1533-position model. The record is from RNAcentral.
GAUGAACGCUGGCGGCGUGCCUAAUACAUGCAAGUAGAACGCUGAAGCUUGGCGCUUGCCCCGAGCGGGUGAGUUGCGGACGGGUGAGUCACGCGUAGGUAACCGGCCUCUUAGCGGGGGAUAACUAUUGGAAAGGAUAUCUAAUACCGCAUAAGAGUCGACAUCGCAUGGUGUUUACGUGAAAGGUGCAAUUGCAUCACUAAGAGAUGGACCUGCGGUGUAUUAGCUAGUUGGUGAGGUAACGGCGCACCAAGGCGACGAUACAGAGCCGACCUGAGCGGGUGGUUGGCCACACUGGGAAGGAGACACGGGACAGACUUCUUAGGGAAGGAGCAGUAGGGAAACUUCGGCAAUGGGGGCAAACCUGGACGAGCAACGCCGCGGGAUGGAAGAAGGGUUUCGGGUCGUAAAGGUCUGUUGUAAGGGAAGAAAGAGUGGUAGAGUGGAAAGUUCACACUGUGACGGUAACUGAACAAAAAGGAACGGCUAACUACGUG